GAUGAACGCUGGCGGCGUGCCUAAUACAUGCAAGUCGAGCGAACAGAUGAGGAGCUUGCUCCUCUGACGUUAGCGGCGGACGGGUUAGUAACACGUGGAUAACCUACCUAUAAGACUGGGAUAACUUCGGGAAACCGGAGCUAAUACCGGAUAAUAUAUUGAACCGCAUGGUUCAAUAGUUAAAGACGGUUUUGCUGUCACUUAUAGAUGGAUCCGCGCCGCAUUAGCUAGUUGGUAAGGUAACGGCUUACCAAGGCAACGAUGCGUAGCCGACCUGAGAGGGUGAUCGGCCACACUGGAACUGAGACACGGUCCAGACUCCUACGGGAGGCAGCAGUAGGGAAUCUUCCGCAAUGGGCGAAAGCCUGACGGAGCAACGCCGCGUGAGUGAUGAAGGUCUUCGGAUCGUAAAACUCUGUUAUUAGGGAAGAACAAAUGUGUAAGUAACUAUGCACGUCUUGACGGUACCUAAUCAGAAAGCCACGGCUAACUACGUG
Molecule: ribosomal RNA, 497 nt
Filed under: uncultured bacterium
Lineage: Bacteria
Description: partial 16S ribosomal RNA
Rfam family: Bacterial small subunit ribosomal RNA
Source: RNAcentral